GCCGGGCAUGGUGGUGCAUGCCUGUAAUCCCAACUCCUCAGAAGGCUGAGGCGGGAGGAUUGCUUCAGCCCGGGAGUUUGAAGCUGCAGUGAGCUACGAUCGUGCCACUGCACUCCAGCCUGGGCAACAGAGCAAGAUCCUGUCUCAG
RNAcentral lists this signal recognition particle RNA (148 nucleotides) under Nomascus leucogenys (northern white-cheeked gibbon). RNAcentral describes it as "Metazoan signal recognition particle RNA". It matches the Rfam family "Metazoan signal recognition particle RNA". From Rfam's summary of the family: The signal recognition particle (SRP) is a universally conserved ribonucleoprotein. It is involved in the co-translational targeting of proteins to membranes. The record is from Rfam by way of RNAcentral. Lineage: Eukaryota; Metazoa; Chordata; Mammalia; Primates; Hylobatidae.